Molecule: long non-coding RNA, 1618 nt
Organism: Parus major (Great Tit)
Lineage: Eukaryota; Metazoa; Chordata; Aves; Passeriformes; Paridae
Source: Ensembl
GUGUUCUGCUCAGCAAUCACAUUUCUCCCUUGCUGUGGUCUCAGUGUUUGGAUCAGUUGGCUCUGUGUGUGUGUGUGUGUUUGUGUGUGUGUGUGUGUGUGUUUGUGUGUGUGUGUGUGUUUGUGUGUGUGUGUGUAUUUGUGUGUGUUUGUGUGUUUGUGUGUAUGUGUUUGUGUGUGUAUUUGUGUGUGUUUGUGUGUUUGUGUGUGUGUUUGUGUGUAUAUGUGUUUGUGUGUUUGUGUGUGUGUGUGUGUGUGUGUGUUUGUGUUUCUGUGUGUAUUUGUGUGUGUGUGACUCUGUGUGUGUGUUUGUGUGUGUUUGUGUUUGUGUGUGUUUGUGUGUUUGUGUUUGUGUGUGUGUGUGUGUGUGUGUCUGUGUGUGUUUGUGUGUGUGUUUGUGUGUGUGUUUGUGUAUUUGUGUGUCUGUGUGUGUGUGUUUGUGUAUUUGUGUGUGUGUGUUUGUGUGUGUGUGACUGUGUGUGUGUUUGUGUGUGUGUAUUUCUGUGUUUGUGUGUGUGUGUGUAUUUCUGUCUGUGUGUUUGUGUGUGUGUUUGUGUGUGUGUGUGUGUGUUUGUGUGUGUGUGUGUGUUUGUGUGUGUGUGUAUUUGUGUGUGUGUUUGUGUGUGUGUCUUUGUGUGUGUGUCUUUGUGUGUGUUUGUGUGUGUGUGUGUGUGUCUUUGUGUGUGUAUUUGUGUUUGUGUGUGUGUGUGUAUUUCUGUGUGUGUGUGUUUGUGUGUGUGUGUUUGUGAGUAUGUGUAUUUGUGUCUGUGUGUGUGUGUGUUUGUGUGUGUGUAUUUCUGUGUUUGUGUGUGUGUGUGUAUUUCUGUCUGUGUGUUUGUGUGUGUGUUUGUGUGUGUGUGUGUGUUUGUGUGUGUGUGUUUGUGUGUGUUUGUGUUUGUGUUUGUGUGUGUUUGUGUGUGUGUAUUUCUGUGUUUGUGUGUAUUUCUGUGUUUGUGUGUGUGUGACUGUGUGUGUGUUUGUGUGUGUGUAUUUCUGUGUUUGUGUGUGUGUGUGUNGUGUGUGUCUGUGUGUGUGUGUGUGUGUGCAUGUUUGUGUGUGUGUGCUUGUGUGUGUGUUUGUGUGUGUGUGUGUUUGUGUGUGUGUUUGUGUAUUUUUGUGUGUGUGUUUGUGUGUGUGUGUAUUUGUGUGUGUGUGUGUGUGUGUGUGUGUUUGUGUCUGUGUGUGUGUUUGUGUGUGUGUGUGUGUUUGUUUUUGUGUGUGUGUUUCUGUGUGUGUGUGUGUUUGUGUGUGUGUUUGUGUUUGUGUGUGUGUGUUUCUGUGUGUGUGUUUGUGUGUGUGUGUGUGUAUUUCUGUGUGUGUGUUUGUAUUUCUGUGUGUGUGUGUGUAUUUCUGUGUGUGUGUGUGUUUGUAUUUCUGUGUGUGUGUGUGUGUGUUUUUGUGUGUAUUUCUGUGUGUUUGUGUGUGUGUUUGUGUGUGUGUGUGUGCGUGUAUUUCUGUGUGUUUGUGUAUUUCUGUGUGUGUAUUUCUGUGUGUGUGUUUGUGUGUUUGUGUGUUUGUGUGUAUUUCUGUGUGUUUGUGUGUAUUUCUGUGUGUGUGUGUAUUUGUGUGUGUGUGUAUUUCUGUGUGUUUUUGCACACCACAGUGGAUAAACCUUUAAC